This 480-nucleotide ribosomal RNA is filed under the name uncultured bacterium. RNAcentral describes it as "partial 16S ribosomal RNA". It matches the Rfam family "Bacterial small subunit ribosomal RNA", at positions 28 to 523 of the family's 1533-position model. The record is from RNAcentral.
GACGAACGCUGGCGGCGUGCUUAACACAUGCAAGUCGAGCGGAAAGGCCCUUUCGGGGGUACUCGAGCGGCGAACGGGUGAGCAACACGUGAGUAAUCUGCCCCUGGCUUUGGGAUAGCCACCGGAAACGGUGAUUAAUACCGGAUACGACCACUUCUCGCAUGGGAUGGUGGUGGAAAGUUUUUCGGCCAGGGAUGUGCUCGCGGCCUAUCAGCUUGAUGGUGAGGUAAUGGCUCACCAUGGCUUCGACGGGUAGCCGGCCUGAGAGGGUGGCCGGUCACACGGGGACUGAGACACGGCCCAGACUCCUACGGGAGGCAGCAGUGGGGAAUAUUGGACAAUGGGCGGAAGCCUGAUCCAGCAACGCCGCGUGAGGGAUGACGGCCUUCGGGUUGUAAACCUCUUUCAGCAGGGACGAAGCGCAAGUGACGGUACCUGCAGAAGAAGCACCGGCCAACUACGUGCCAGCAGCCGCCGCAG